RNAcentral lists this ribosomal RNA (202 nucleotides) under uncultured bacterium. Its description in RNAcentral is "partial 16S ribosomal RNA". It matches the Rfam family "Bacterial small subunit ribosomal RNA", at positions 328 to 539 of the family's 1533-position model. The record is from RNAcentral.
ACGCUCGACACCUAUGGGAGGCAGCAGGUUGGGAAUAUUGGACAAUGGGAGGAAACUCUGAUCCAGUGACGCCGCGUGAAGGAAGAAGGUCUUCGGAUUGUAAACUUAUUUUGUCAGGGAAGAAAAAAUGACUGUACCUGAAGAAAAAGCACCGGCUAACUACGUGCCAGAAGCCGCGGUAAUCUGAGCGGGCUGGCAAGGC